UUCUUCCUACUGGAUCUGGUGCUCAACUUCCGAACGGGCAUCGUGGUGGAGGAGGGUGCUGAGAUCCUGCUAGCACCGCGGGCCAUCCGCACGCGCUACCUGCGCACCUGGUUCCUGGUUGACCUCAUCUCUUCUAUCCCUGUGGAUUACAUCUUCCUAGUGGUGGAGCUGGAGCCACGGUUGGACGCUGAGGUCUACAAAACGGCACGGGCCCUACGCAUCGUUCGCUUCACCAAGAUCCUAAGCCUGCUGAGGCUGCUCCGCCUCUCCCGCCUCAUCCGCUACAUACACCAGUGGGAGGAGAACCACUCGUGGGGCCGCCAGUAUUCCCAUGCCCUGUUCAAGGCCAUGAGCCACAUGCUGUGCAUUGGCUAUGGGCAGCAGGCACCUGUAGGCAUGCCCGACGUCUGGCUCACCAUGCUCAGCAUGAUCGUGGGUGCCACAUGCUACGCCAUGUUCAUCGGCCAUGCCACGGCACUCAUCCAGUCCCUGGACUCUUCCCGGCGUCAGUACCAGGAGAAGUACAAGCAGGUGGAGCAGUACAUGUCCUUCCACAAGCUGCCAGCAGACACGCGGCAGCGCAUCCACGAGUACUAUGAGCACCGCUACCAGGGCAAGAUGUUCGACGAGGAAAGCAUCCUGGGCGAGCUGAGCGAGCCGCUUCGCGAGAGAUCUGCCUGCUAACUAGGGGCCGGCGCACAGCCAGUGUUCGGGCUGACACCUACUGCCGCCUUUACUCACUCAGUGUGGACCAUUUCAAUGCUGUGCUUGAGGAGUUCCCCAUGAUGCGCCGGGCCUUUGAGACUGUGGCCAUGGAUCGGCUGCGCCGCAUCGGCAAGAAGAAUUCCAUACUGCAGCGGAAGCGCUCUGAGCCAAGUCCAGGCAGCAGUGGUGGCAUCAUGGAGCAGCACUUGGUGCAACAUGACAGAGACAUGGCUCGGGGUGUUCGGGGUCGGG
RNAcentral lists this small RNA (957 nucleotides) under Pan troglodytes (chimpanzee). RNAcentral's name for it is "processed transcript". The record is from RNAcentral. Lineage: Eukaryota; Metazoa; Chordata; Mammalia; Primates; Hominidae.